This 296-nucleotide small nuclear RNA is filed under the name Chinchilla lanigera (long-tailed chinchilla). RNAcentral describes it as "7SK RNA (ENSCLAG00000021967.1)". It matches the Rfam family "7SK RNA". Rfam says of the family: 7SK was discovered as an abundant small nuclear RNA in the mid-70s but a possible function has only recently been suggested. Two independent studies have found that 7SK RNA binds the CDK9/cyclin T complex (known as elongation factor P-TEFb). The record is from RNAcentral. Lineage: Eukaryota; Metazoa; Chordata; Mammalia; Rodentia; Chinchillidae.
GGAUGUGAAGGCGAUCUGGCUGCGAUAUCUGUCACCCCAUUGAGCGCCAGGGUUGAUUCGGCUGAUCUGCCUGGCUAGGCGGGUGUCCCCUUCCUCCCUCAACGCUCCAUGUGCAUCCCUCCCGAAGCCGCACGCUUGGUCGAAUAGGACGACCACCCCCGAUAGAGGAGGACCGUUCCUCGGGCAAGGGUGUACGAGUAGCUGCGCUCCCCUGCUAGAACCUCCAAACAAGCUCUCAAGAAAUGAGAAAUGUAUGAUAAAGCAUAUAAUGAGAGGUUAAGUAUCUGCCAGAGUAC